Molecule: long non-coding RNA, 1242 nt
Filed under: Urocitellus parryii (Arctic ground squirrel)
Lineage: Eukaryota; Metazoa; Chordata; Mammalia; Rodentia; Sciuridae
Description: lncRNA (ENSUPAG00010006613.1)
Source: RNAcentral
CGCCGGCCGAGAGUGGGGCGCGGGGCGCUGGAAGGUGGGCGCCGCGGCGGCGGUAGCCAGGCGGGGGCCUCCGCGCGACCCCAGUCCCCGCCCGCCCUCCGCCGGCCGGGCCAGGAGCUUGGAGCCGGUCGGAGUGGAGCUGGUUAAAGAUGCCUGGGUUAGGUAAUCACGUUGACCCCGGGCCACCUACCAAAGUCACUCGGAAGACUGCUACCAGCCAGAACCUUGCAGGUUGGGAAUAAACGGUGCUUUGGCUCAUGGUUUGUCGUUUUUAGUCUUCCACGACCAUACGUUUGCAACCUGUUUACGGGACGAUAGAAUGGAUUGUCCAUAGUUAAAACUACUCUCCACAAAAUCACUUGGCCAUGAUCAGGCACUAGCUCCGACCUACCCUAUGUCUGAACUCUGUGUGGAAAUUUCCAAUAUAAUAGUUUCAAGUUGAUGUGGGAUUUUUUUUUUUCCAGCAUAAGUCUAGUGUAAGCAGAUACCAAGUGGGUAAAAUUUAAAUCUCAUCCAAGAAAGCUUCCUGGUUUGUGAGAGGUGCAGACGGUGGUAGUGGAGGAAAUGCCUGAAGGACAAGAGAUGGCAGCUAGCAGACUCAGCGUGCACAAACUUGCUCCUCACCCCUAAGCAUUUCUGAUAUGUGGGUGCUUUAUCUGUUGAUUAUGGAUCUUUGGUUAAAAAGUUCUCUCAACCAAGGACCCUCACUUUGAAAUUGAGUCUUUGUGGCAUGUAGCCAGGGUAGGUUUCCAGUACAUGAUGUAAGGGGAGAUUCCUUGGGAAUCUUGUUAAUUCUUUCGAUGCACUCACUUUUGUAACUGGUCCUGUUCUUUUAGAUCUCUUUUACAUUUUGGGCCCAUUGGUCAUUACUGACAUAUGUCAGUAUACAGUCUUGUAAUGGAUAGUUGGUUGUAGUAACCUUUUUUCUUGUGACAUAUAAAUCAAUUUGUGUUUUUCUUCUUUCUAUUUCACUUAAAGGAAACUGUCGAAUUGGGCAGAUCAGCAUUUACUCAGCAUAUCCCCCUCCUGUAGGUCUUGUUGACCUUGGUGGCAUCCUAGAGGUCAUGUAUUCAUGGAGAUAAACAGUUCUUGAACAGUUUACUCCAGCUGAUAAAAGACAAAUGGGAAAAUGACUUGACAAAUGCAUAUCUUGAUUUGUUUUGAAAAUCAUUUUUACUCAGCAUUUAUUGCAGUCUGUGCCAAAAAUAUCCUUUGGUAAUUUUUUUUUUUUUGAAAUCUAUU